GAGUAACACGUGGGUGAUCUGCCCUGCACUUUGGGAUAAGCCUGGGAAACUGGGUCUAAUACCGAAUAUGACCUUACGCUUCAUGGUGUGUGGUGGAAAGAUUUUGCGGUGUGGGAUGGGCCCGCGGCCUAUCAGCUUGUUGGUGGGGUAAUGGCCUACCAAGGCGACGACGGGUAGCCGGCCUGAGAGGGUGACCGGCCACACUGGGACUGAGAUACGGCCCAGACUCCUACGGGAGGCAGCAGUGGGGAAUAUUGCACAAUGGGCGAAAGCCUGAUGCAGCGACGCCGCGUGAGGGAUGACGGCCUUCGGGUUGUAAACCUCUUUCAAUAGGGACGAAGCGCAAGUGACGGUACCUAUAGAAGAAGGACCGGCCAACUACGUGC
This 386-nucleotide ribosomal RNA is filed under the name Nocardia farcinica. RNAcentral's name for it is "bacterial SSU rRNA". It matches the Rfam family "Bacterial small subunit ribosomal RNA", at positions 108 to 508 of the family's 1533-position model. The record is from RNAcentral. Lineage: Bacteria; Bacillati; Actinomycetota; Actinomycetes; Mycobacteriales; Nocardiaceae.